AGGUGUGAUCAUUCCAGCACUAAUGCAACGGAUUCCAUCAGAACUCCGCAGAUAAGCGUGCUUGGGAGAGAGUAGAAAUUGGAUGGGUGACCUCAUGGGAAGUCCUCGUGUUGCACCUC
RNAcentral lists this ribosomal RNA (119 nucleotides) under Lupinus angustifolius (narrow-leaved blue lupine). The record is from RNAcentral. Lineage: Eukaryota; Viridiplantae; Streptophyta; Magnoliopsida; Fabales; Fabaceae.